GAGGGGGGAGGGGGAGGGGAAGAGGGGGAGAUACGCUCACGAUAGAGAGAGGGCGCGGGUUGAGGUCGACGCAGGUUGGGUUCGGGUGGAUUGGGUUAGGCUAAGGUUGGGUUAGGAUUAUAUUUAAUAUAUAAAUAUUAGUAGGUUAAAACUAUAUAUUUAAAAAUAAUUGCCGCUAAAGUGUAAUAAAAUAAUAAUAAUAGUGGCCGUUUGAUAAU
Molecule: long non-coding RNA, 218 nt
Filed under: Ananas comosus (pineapple)
Lineage: Eukaryota; Viridiplantae; Streptophyta; Magnoliopsida; Poales; Bromeliaceae
Description: long non-coding RNA (ACOM_LNC042209)
Source: RNAcentral